AACGAACGCUGGCGGCGUGCCUAACACAUGCAAGUCGAACGAGACCUUCGGGUCUAGUGGCGCACGGGUGCGUAACGCGUGGGAACCUGCCCUUAGGUUCGGAAUAACUCCCCGAAAGGGGUGCUAAUACCGGAUAAUGUCUUCGGACCAAAGAUUUAUCGCCUUUGGAUGGGCCCGCGUUGGAUUAGCUAGUUGGUAGGGGAAAAGCCUACCAAGGCGACGAUCCAUAGCUGGUCUGAGAGGAUGAUCAGCCACACUGGGACUGAGACACGGCCCCGACUCCUACGGGAGGCAGCAGUGGGGAAUAUUGGACAAUGGGCGAAAGCCUGAUCGAGCAAUGCCGCGUGAGUGAUGAAGGCCUUAGGGUUGUAAAGCGCUUUUACACGGGAUGAUAAUGACAGUACCGUGAGAAUAAGCUCCGGCUAACUCCGUG
This 433-nucleotide ribosomal RNA is filed under the name uncultured bacterium. Its description in RNAcentral is "partial 16S ribosomal RNA". It matches the Rfam family "Bacterial small subunit ribosomal RNA", at positions 29 to 507 of the family's 1533-position model. The record is from RNAcentral.